RNAcentral lists this ribosomal RNA (497 nucleotides) under uncultured bacterium. RNAcentral describes it as "partial 16S ribosomal RNA". It matches the Rfam family "Bacterial small subunit ribosomal RNA", at positions 28 to 507 of the family's 1533-position model. The record is from RNAcentral.
GAUGAACGCUGGCGGCGUGCCUAAUACAUGCAAGUCGAGCGAACAGAUGAGGAGCUUGCUCCUCUGACGUUAGCAGCGGACGGGUGAGUAACACGUGGAUAACCUACCUAUAAGACUGGGAUAACUUCGGGAAACCGGAGCUAAUACCGGAUAAUAUAUUGAACCGCAUGGUUCAAUAGUGAAAGACGGUUUUGCUGUCACUUAUAGAUGGAUCCGCGCCGCAUUAGCUAGUUGGUAAGGUAACGGCUUACCAAGGCAACGAUGCGUAGCCGACCUGAGAGGGUGAUCGGCCACACUGGAACUGAGACACGGUCCAGACUCCUACGGGAGGCAGCAGUAGGGAAUCUUCCGCAAUGGGCGAAAGCUUGACGGAGCAACGCCGCGUGAGUGAUGAAGGUCUUCGGAUCGUAAAACUCUGUUAUUAGGGAAGAACAAAUGUGUAAGUAACUAUGCACGUCUUGACGGUACCUAAUCAGAAAGCCACGGCUAACUACGUG